AUGGAAGGAAUAGGAGGAGGGCCCAUGUCACCACGAGGCAGCUUCUCCAGCGCUAAGGCGUGGUCACUCCCAUGCCACGGAGAGUUGUUCUGCAAAGCACGGGCCGCGUCGCAGGAGGACGCUGAAGGCCGAGGCUCUGGCACAGCGGCAGGAGCCUGGCGCGGACCAGCCUCCCGAGCCGAGCCGUCGGCCCGGACGGACACUUGGUCAGUGUCACUCUCUGCCUCUCCGCAGAGCGUGGUCUGCAGCCUGGCAAACUCGGCCCUGUCUCUGGACCCCCCCGCACCUUGCCCUUCGCUGCCGCCAGCCCCGGGCGCGCCCCAGCAUCGCCCCACACCUGCUCACGGCCGGAACACCCCAACAGCGGGAGGCAGGGCACGGAGGUGGAGGUGGGGUCCAGCGAGCCCCCUGCCGCGCAACGCCACUCGCGCUGCUCCCCAAAAGGCAGAGCCCCUCAAAGUCUUGGAAGAUCCGGUGCCCCGCAACCUGCGGGAUGAACCCAUGCACGUGUGCACCACGCGUUUAACCGCACAGUCAUCCCUAGGCUUGCCGCAAAGAUGGUCCACAGUUCACGUUGUUUUAAAAAAAACACAUCUCGAGGCUUGCAGUCGGUGCCUGCCACAUGGCGUGGCUUCUGGGACGUCGCGUCCUCGAGAAGGGACCUAAAUUCCGACGCCCCGCUCCCCUUCCGGUGGCGCCGUAAGAAGCGGCUCCGCUGCCCCUCCCGCGUGCCCAGGGGUGCGGCCUCGCUGGGUGCCGGUGCCCAGGGCCUGGGGGUGGCGAAGGGGAGGGGAUACGGGCCUCCCUCCCCCACUGUGAAAAUUCUGCGCCCUGAGCUCUGGAAUUCUUUGGUCACAAUCCUCCUUCAAUUUUAGCGUGGCGGUACCAUCAAGAUUUAUACCUGGAAAUGAACAUUUUAACCACCUUCCUUAUUAAAGAAGAUUAAAAAGAAGAAUUUUUUGCUCUAGCUCCGUUCUCUGCGGUUUGCAGAAAUAAGGGUGGGGGCGGGGCUGGAGCAGGGGUGGAGCCUCCCCCGCGGUGAAAAUGAGACUCCCCUUACCGAUUUAAUGGGGCCAUUUGUUUUUUCAUCGGGCGCCCCGCGACCCCGAUGUACAGUGGGUAAUUCGCAGUUUCCUCCGAGGCUCCCUAACUGGGGAGGGGCGCCUAGGGGAAGCUGCGACUUUGCUGUCCCACGCCCGAGCGCCCACGGGCCUGGGUCGCCCGGCUCUGGGACUGCGGAUCCAAGGCGGACUGGAAAGGCCCUGGGGGUGAAGAGCGCGGAUCCCGACGGGCGCACGCGGGGAACGAAGGCGGAGCCCGCGUGGGCAGUGGGCCUGUGUUCCCCCGCAUUCACCUCCCCGCGGGUGCCCGGGGCCCACGCAGCGCCCCGGCUGGAAGCUGCGUCCGCGCCCAAAGCCAGCGCAGAACUCCCAGGGAAAGAAGUUUGCCAGGCUGCAGUGUAGACACGGCCUCUUCCCUCCGAAUCGUGCUGAGAUAAUCUAAGUGCCCCCUACACAGCCACGCAAGUGGCGAGCACACGCCUGGGUCCGCGGCCCCCACGUGGCGCCCGGCUUGGCGCAGACGCGUGCGCGGGCAGCGCGGCGGGCGUGACACCGCAUUUUCUCCAAGUGCCUGUCCUCGGGGGCGGUGCAGCCCGGAGAGGGGG
This 1666-nucleotide long non-coding RNA is filed under the name Oryctolagus cuniculus (rabbit). Its description in RNAcentral is "lncRNA (ENSOCUG00000035489.1)". Lineage: Eukaryota; Metazoa; Chordata; Mammalia; Lagomorpha; Leporidae. The record is from RNAcentral.